Molecule: long non-coding RNA, 5119 nt
Filed under: Medicago truncatula (barrel medic)
Lineage: Eukaryota; Viridiplantae; Streptophyta; Magnoliopsida; Fabales; Fabaceae
Description: long non-coding RNA (MTRU_LNC006452)
Source: RNAcentral
ACGGUAAAGUCUUCUUUUAUUACUAUCAAUCUUAAAAACAUUAAAGUGUGCUUGUGUUAAUGAGCAUUCCCUUUAAAAUAAGAUGAAUUUACAAACCUAUCUGUCUGUGAUGAUUUUCAGGUGCUUGUCCUGUGAUCAAGGGAGAUAAGUGGUUAUGUGCUAAAUGGAUGCAUGUCGGUGAAUUCAAAAUCUAGAUAUAGAUUACUGUAUGUUGUUAUAUCUCCUUUGUCGUUGUACUCGCACAUAUACAAAUAUAAAUAUAAUUUUAUAGUUACAACAAUGUUUAUCUGGCAAAGUUUACAAUGUUUAUCGCGGCCUAGUAAUAACUUAAUAAAUAUGCAUUGCCUCCACCCACUCACCUCCUUCUGCAUCCAAAAACUAUCCUUCCAAAGCAUCUACAUAAGAUAGUUGAAUAGAAGAGCCCUUAGAAAAACUAUGUUUCCCUCCUUUUUGUGUCGAUAUUUUCUGCAUUUGCCGAAGCAAACCCUCGAUAAGGGUUUGUAUCAGAGAGUUUCUUUCUUCUCCAUUAGAAUGUAAAUAAUCAUGUUUUUUUACGAAGGUUAAUAAUCAAGUUAUACAUCAUUUUUUUUUAGAGAAAGUUAUAUAUACAUCAUUUGUCUACCUAUAAAAUAAUCGUAUGGCAAAUCACAUUAAGAAUGUAAACACAUCUUUACUAUGAAAUAUUAAGUGCAUAGCAGAUUACAAAUUGGCCAAAUUGCUUGAUAGAUACAAUGCAAUAGCCUUCUGCAUAAUUCAAUUUGCUUUCUCUAUGAAUUUAGUACAUCCAGCAACCUUCUGGUUUCUCUAUUUUUCUCCUGCAUUAGUAAUUUAAUAUGCUUGUUUAUGGAUUCAUAAAAAAAAAGCCAGAAGCAAAAAAUGAAUGAGUGCUUGGGUUCUACAAUAUAUUUCACUGUUGUUACUGUUGUUGUUCAAAAUCCACAUUGUGAAGUUGUAGAUCAUGCACUUAAUUGAUGGCAUGAAGCAAUUCCAAGGCUCCACCAAUUUCCAUGGAGCAAAUAGGUUGUGACCAAAAGUGUCCGAACAAGCACGAAUCUUCCUUCAUCGUCUCUUAAACACAUGUCUAACCCUGUACAAUUCAGCGUGAUGGAGAAAGAAGCGUCAAUGUUGCACUUGAGACGCCCGGUUGCUGGUGAGAUUGCCCACGAGACGACUGAUGUUGCACGUUACUUAGUUUCACUGUUCUUUUUCUUGUUAAAAAAAUUAGUUGGAGAAUCGCGCUUACAAAAAGUGAUUUGUGAAUUCUUUGUGAAAAAGGAGAGUGAUUUGCAAAAAUGGAAUAUUUUAAUGUUUAAUCAGAGGAGUGUGAGAUAUUACAAAUGUUUCUUUUUAAUACUCAUAAAGAUUUUCUAAAAAGAGGCAUAUUCUAACAAUAUUGUCAAUAUGUAAUUAUGAAGAGUUGAAGGAAGACCAUUUUAAUAAUAAAAAAAUUAAUUUCAAUUGGACAAUGCAUGUCUUUCUGAUGAAAUGAAAAGAAACGCCUUUGAGGAAAGUGUAUAGCACGCUGAAAUAAACAAGUUUAAUAGGUCACAUUCUCAUUUUUUUUUUCCAAUUCAAAUUAAUUCAGUUUUUAGAUUUUAAUUCAUUCAUUCAUCUUUAAAAACUGUUAAUGGUGAAAUUCAAGCACUCUAACGUAGGACUUCGAAAACCAUCGCUAAUAACAUGCUGGACAUUGUUCCUCACAUUGUUUGUGACUUUCACAUUCCUCAUUCUUAUUAUCUUAACUCUUCGUAUCCCUAAACUAAAUCACCUUAACUCCAUCACUCAUAGUAACACUCUCAGGUUUCUCUUUGAUUCAACUACAAACUUAUCUUCCUUUUUGAUUUGUUUCUCUCUCUUUGUUACCUCCCUUAUUUAUUUUAUGCAUGCAGAAACGAUGACAAUAAGCGUUGGGUUCAAAUCAUAUCGUGGGAGCCUAGAGCAUUUUUAUAUCAUAAUUUUCUUGUCAGUUUCUUGUUUCCCUUCUUGCUUGCUUUUAUUGAUAAGGAUUAUUUGUUAAUGAUCUAAUUAAAUAUCAAAUUAUGACUGGAUUACUAAUUAGUCGUGUUCUACAAAGCACCAACAUUUAUGAUUAAAAGAGUGUCCUGUGAAAUCACUACAAGAAAAUCAGUGAUUAUUUCGUAGCAAACCUCUCUAGCAAAGAUCAUUUAACUAGAAAAAACUAUGAAUUAGGUGCUAUCUUUAUCAUAGCAUGGAUUGGAUAGCAAAUUAUCUAGGAAAAUUAUCUUAGCUAAUUCACAACUAAUAUCUGCAAACUCCUAGCUACUCCCUCCGGUCCUAUUUAUAAGAGAAAUUUAGGUCAACAAAAGUGAAUGUAUUUGGACUGAAUUUUUAACUAGAUACAUCAACUUUUGUUGACCCAAAAUUCUUUUAUAAAUAGGACCGGAGGAAGUAAUUCCCAACCAAUACGUUGUAAAAUAAUGUUCAAAAGUGUAUAUUCUGUAGCUAGGGUAUUACAAAGCAAGAUCGUAGCAAAUCUAUAGCUAAAGGUUGAUUUUGAAAUUUAGGAAUUUACUAGCUUUUCGUGAACAUUCUUAUCUUUUGCAUACAUGCACAUUUGAAUGGAGAAUACACAGAGAUUAGACGAUCACAAAUCUUCCUUAACAAAAGACGAAAAUAGAAAUUCAGGGCUACCAAAGCUAAAAAUUAUAUCAUUAUUAUCAAAUAAAUUUUAUAUUUGUAAGUACUUUUGAAAGUGACAUAGAUUACUGCUACUUUCGACACUUCAUGAACUAGUUCUCUGGAGUUUGUAGCUCGUGGAUCAAUCAUAUGUUUAAUAAUUAGAGUAAUCAAGGUUGUGCAAGUCCUUUUCCACCAAAACCAAUGAUUAUACAUCUCAGUUCUCGGGGUGCAAAAGGAAAAUGAAAAAAACAGCAACAAUUUUAACAGGGGAAACACUUGAAUCUCUUGACAAAGAACUCAUCAACAGAAAACAAAAACCACAAUAACAAAGAAUGAUUAUAGUUUACUAUAGUUUAUAAAGAAAUAAGUUCACUAUGAGAAAACAAUGGCCUACCACAUUAACUAACUCAUCUCGUAUAGCAUAACUGGAUUUGUAAAAGGAAAAUAUAUGAGUCUUUUAGGGUGAUAAUAAAUCACUAAAUAAGAUACAAACCACCAACAUUAAUUCAUGUAUCGAAGUCUAAAAAUAGCAUGACAUCUUCACGUUAUAUUGAACAUUACGUUAAAAAACUGUUAAUGGAAAGAUCAAAUUGUUUUUUUUAGUGCAUCCAAUGACUUGCAUUAAAGGAAAAUAGUGUGUGUAUUAUUGAAUCAUAAGUUGGACAUGUCCAAUUUUUCUUUGUACCAAAUGAACAUCAAGUGAGUUUCAUUCCACAUAUUAUAUUAUGUUUACUUAUUUUUCAGUUAGUGUAUGAAUCAAUUUUAAAUGUAUUUUUUAAAGAAAUUGCAUAUGUUUGGUUUCUGUCUUUUUUCAAUAUUUUUUUAGCAUCAGUGGAUUAGAAAAUCACACUCACUCACUACCAUUCCAAACUUGCUUUGAGAAUAAGAUCAUCCAAAUAUAAAGCACUUAAUUUCAAAUUCCAUAAUAACCAAAUCAAUAUGUUUGCCCUAACACACACUAAUCAAACAAAAUCAGUAAUAUUUUCUAAGGUGAAUAUGGUUGUAAGGUUUAGGAAAGAUUUGAAUAUCAUGAAGGAAAAAAAGAUGAAUGUGAAUUCACUCAUAACCUGCAGAAAUUUAGAAGCGAGACAGAGUUUUAAACUUAGAAUAUCAGUUUUAAGUUUUAACAUUAUUUCUUUAUAUAUUGUGUAAUCAUAGUUCAAGGUAGGCCCCUAAAUAUAGUUUUAAUGUUACAAGUUUCCAUUUCCUAAAUGCUAAGGCUAAACUGAUUGAUCUGAGCAGACAAAAGAGGAAUGCGAACAUCUAAUCAAUAUAGCAAAGCCUAGUAUGCAUAAAUCGGAAGUUAUUGACGAGAAAACAGGAAAGAGUCUGAACAGCAGGUUAGAUUUUUUUUUCCAACCACAAAAUUCUUUAUCAAGUAUCCCUUGAGUUCAAUGUUGAAUAUAAAUCUCGUUUGACUUGUUUGGAUCGUCAUUGCCACUUCAUUGAUGUAUUUAGCAUACGAACAAGCUCUGGAACAUUUCUUGACAGAGAAGGUGAUGAAAUUGUGAGCAAUAUUGAGAAAAGAAUCGCUGAUUUUACUUUUAUACCUGUAGGUGCGUAACACGUUCUUUCUGCCUUUUGUUUUUUCCUUUGUUCAAGAAACUAAGGCUUGAUGCUCCUGCUAGUGCUUUUUGAUUCAACCAUGUAUCAACGAAGUGUUUUCAGUUGUCUUUUGAUGCUGAGAUAGUAUGUUAUUUUUCACCCAAUACUUAAAACAACCAUUACUUGAGCCGUGUUUCACAAUAUGCAGAGCAUGGCGAAAGCUUUAAUGUUCUCCAUUAUGAAGUUGGACAAAAGUAUGAACCUCAUUAUGACUACUUUUUGGAUACGUUUAGUACUAGGCAUGCAGGUCAGCGCAUAGCAACAAUGCUGAUGUACCUGUAAGUGACUUUAGUGUCAUUCAUUGUUGGCUUCAAUUAUCGUUGAUACGAAGUUGAUAUUGGUGUUCACUUUUUUUUUGUAAUUCGAUAAUACAGUUCGGAUGUUGAAGAAGGGGGUGAGACGGUGUUCCCAAAUGCCAAGGGAAAUUUUAGCUCUGUGCCUUGGUGGAAUGAGCUUUCCGAUUGUGGAAAAGGAGGACUGUCAAUUAAGCCAAAGAUGGGUAAUGCUAUACUUUUCUGGAGCAUGAAGCCUGAUGCAACUUUAGAUCCAUCGAGUUUGCACGGUAAAUUCUUCUUUUAUUACUAUCAAACUUAAAAGCAUUAAAGUGUGUUUGUGUUAACGAGCAUUCCCUUUAAAACAAGAUGAAUUUAAAAACCUAUCUGUAUGUGAUAAUUUUCAGGUGCUUGUCCUGUGAUCAAGGGCGAUAAGUGGUCAUGCGCCAAAUGGAUGCAUGCCGAUGAAUACUAAACCUUCAUAUUGAUUAUUGUAGGUUGUUAUACCUCCUUUGUCGUUGUACUGGCACAGUUACAAAUACAAAUAUAAAUAUGGUUUUGCAGUUGCGGCUAUACAACAAUGUUUAUAUUAGGAAACUGAG